This 3296-nucleotide long non-coding RNA is filed under the name Nicotiana tabacum (common tobacco). RNAcentral describes it as "long non-coding RNA (NTAB_LNC006376)". The record is from RNAcentral. Lineage: Eukaryota; Viridiplantae; Streptophyta; Magnoliopsida; Solanales; Solanaceae.
UGCUUCUUUUCCCCUUCACGAAUUCGUAUCAUAUAUCCAAUCUCAAUCCUCCUCCGAACCCUCAAUUCCACAACCUGACACCGCUUCGGGAUCACCCGACUUCCUCUAACCACCCGCGCGCUCUACUCCUUUAUAGAAAUCACCUCUUACUCCUCGGAACCCUUGGAACAAUCUCGAAAGUUUAACAUUGAUUUGAGUGGGCCCAGGGUUUUGUUGUGUGCUGAUGCUAUGAUUAAUUUAAUUUUGAAGUCGGAGGUGAAUCAGUACAUGGAGUUCAAGAGCAUUGACGGGAGUUUUUUCUACGACGGUGAGGGCAAUUUGGAGAAUGUACCUGAUUCACGUAGCGCAAUAUUCAAGGACCGGAAACUAAGCUUUACUGAGAAGACUCAGUUGAUGGAAUUCUUCAAGCUGGUGCAAGGGCAUUUUGAAGCAGCAGCCGCUGCUUAUGGUGGGGAGAGGAAGAGCAUUUCAGAGGAGGAUUUAGAGAGUCCGUUUGUGGAGUUUUUAAGCAAAAUGGGGCUUUCUUCUAAGCUAAAAUCGUACAGAUCGAAUCGCCUCUCUCUUAGUCAUAGUUUCCUGUUUUCUGUUAUUCCUUUUUCUUUUCCUGUCGUUGUCGUUUGAUUAUGUCGUAUGCUUAUUUCAUGAAUCAAAUAGUCCUAAUCAAAUAUUAAGGAUUAUUGAAUGUGUGAUUUCUGUAUGAUUGUGAUGUUGCAGCCUAAUAAAUUAGGAAGCUUUUCAUUUUAGAUUGAAAGCAUGCGAUACUUUUCUAAAACUACUUCAGUAAACAAAUUAAACUGUGAGGAUAUUGCUUGUACUGCUGUUUUGCCUUUCAACAUAUGGAGAAGAAAAUGGUUAAUUAAUAUAUAAAUGACACUGCUUUUCGAUCUUUAUCACCUUUUAGCAUUUCAAUUCAAUGAACGUAAGACUGUUAGUUCCCACUUUCCUUUUUAUGGUUGUUUAUCCAGAAUUUGGGAAUCAGAGUAAUUUUUUUUUGUACAUUAGAUUCUAGCUAUAUUCGUCUGACUUAGUAGUGAUCUUUUCUUUUUAGGAUUAUUCUAUAUGAAAUAGCAAUGGCAGAUUAUGACCAAGAGAAUAGGGAUGUUUGCAAAAGUGUUCUUAAGACAAAAGAUGGUAUUGAUUGGUUGGCCCUUUAUCACUCAUCCAUUGGCAGGUUAUACUCUCACCCUUCCUUUGUACUUAAAACAGUCAUGUAGAAAUCAUAAAUACCUCUUCCAUUUUUGUACAUAAAACAGUAUAGUAGUGCACUAAUCCUGAAUGUACCUCGCCCAUUUGUACAUAAAUUGGUAGUUUACUAAUCAUGAAAGUAUCUUUCCAUUUACUGGCUGUUUAGCUUUAGCUUUACCUUCUUCUAUGUCCAUAAUUGAACUUCAUACUCCUAACUGUGGAAAUCCUGAAAAUGAUAUUAUUAGGCUAAUCUAUUUUUAUUGUCAAUUCUCAUCCCUGAUACUGAAAAUAAUAGUUCAUUAAGAUGCAUGCUUAGGUUAUACUUGCAUGUGCGGAUGAAAGAGGUCUAACCUUGGAAUACCCACUUAUCUGUUUUUUCAUGUCUGAGAUUCAAAAGUCAACCUGGAAAGCUCUAUGUAUAGUUGGGUUAGUCUUUUUGCCAAUGCAAAUACUCCCAAGAAUUAAUAAUUUUUUGGAACUGUUAGAAAAAGAGAAGGGGAUUCUAUCUUGAGACUAGUUAAUCAUAAUCAUUGACCCUCUGAGUUGGAAAGUUAUCUUUGUAUGCCAUGACAUCUUAUGGUCAUAUGCUUCCUUCUCGUCAGCCAAAUUCUUAUAGUUUUCCCUUUGUUUACAAACUUUAGGUUUCCUAAUGCACCUGGUGCUAUGAUUUACCCCAUUUAUGGUCAAGGGGAACUUCCACAGGCCUUUUGUCGUGGUGCUGCAGUAAAAGGAUGCAUUUAUGUAAGUCUUUUAACAUGUGUUUUCCUUGGACAACUCCAGUGUAUUAUCACUUAGUUUUGCAAUUUUGUUCCACCGAGAUUCUUUACCCUUUUUUCCCUUGUGUUGUUGAUUGCAAUGCAUGGCGGAGAGCAGACAAUGUCCAAAUAUGCAUUAUGUUUCUGAUCAUUUUUGUGUUUUGGUUUUAUAAUUAUCUUACGCCCUGCCAUCCUCCUAAAAAUAGAGAAAAGUUCGUGUUUUGUGAAAAUUCCAUCAUAAGGUUCCACUAGGGAAGUGAUAGAGGUGCAUAACUUAGGACCAAAGAGAUCUCCUAGAGAUCGCAAAUUUGCAGUUGGAGACUUAUCAGAUCUCCCAGCAUGUAACUUGGGGAGCUUAGCUCUAGCCAGGAAGUGUAUUAAACAACUUUGCAGCUAGUUGUGGCCUUGAUUUCUUAUUCCUCACAAUGCUAGCUAUACAUUUGUGAUGAGCCCCUACUGCUUCACAGUUAGAAAUGUUGAUGAGCUUGCUUGUAGUACUGAAAGAAGCUUUUUUCAAGCAUUCAGGAGCAUUGACACUGUUGUUUACGUCCUGAAGGAUUACUGUUUUCUCAAACUCAAUUAAUCUUUAAUUUGAACAACUGCUGAAUGAGCUUAACUUUAAUUUUUUGGUAAGUUGAAUGACCUCAGCUUUUUACGUUUCAUUUGACAUCAAAUAGAAGAUAUCAUCUUGAUUGGUUUCUCUUCUGUUACCUUUUCUCGUGUAGUCGGAAAGUAAUCUCUUUGUCUUGAUUUCUUCAUCAUUGCUUAUACUAUACAUUGUAUUGGUAAUUUGCAAAUGAAGUUCUUAUUGUGCUAAACAUCAUAUUCAAAGUUUUUUAUGGUGUCCUUUCCUCAAUAUUCAUUAUUUGAUGUUUAAUUUCCUGGAAUUCCUUGAAUUGUUAUGUCAUUAGUAGUCUUCCCUGAGGCUAAUUUCUAUCUUUACUUCGACUUUGUUUCCAGGUUCUUCGGAUGCCUGUUAAUUCUCUCCUCAUGGACAAGGUUCGUAGUGAUUCUCUUCUUGUUUCUUAAUGACUUUUAACCGUCCUCAUUUGGUAGAAUUGAACCUUUUUGAAGUGCAUGAGUUGUUGACCUGUCACCUUGAUGAUUUCACAGGCUACUGGGAAUUACAAGGGUGUUCGCUUGGCUUCGGAACAAGAAUUGUACAGCCAUAAGCUGAUAUUAGCUUCAUCUUUUGUGUUUCAAUUACCACCACCUCAUUCUUCACCUGGUGCUCAGCAAAAUGUUUAUUGUGAUUUUGGCUCAAAAAAUACAACUGAGAAGCUGGCUAGGAGUGUAUGCAUCACAAAGCACUCUUUGAAAUUGGAUAAAGCCAAUUGUCUGGCAUUUUUUCCUCCU